CUUUUGCUGGCGACCGGCGCACGGGUGAGUAACACGUAUCCAACCUGCCCUUUACUCGGGGAUAGCCUUUCGAAAGAAAGAUUAAUACCCGAUAGCAUAAUGAUUCCGCAUGGUUUCAUUAUUAAAGGAUUCCGGUAAAGGAUGGGGAUGCGUUCCAUUAGGCUGUUGGUGAGGUAACGGCUCACCAAACCUUCGAUGGAUAGGGGUUCUGAGAGGAAGGUCCCCCACAUUGGAACUGAGACACGGUCCAA
Molecule: ribosomal RNA, 251 nt
Filed under: uncultured bacterium
Lineage: Bacteria
Description: partial 16S ribosomal RNA
Rfam family: Bacterial small subunit ribosomal RNA
Source: RNAcentral